Molecule: ribosomal RNA, 394 nt
Filed under: uncultured bacterium
Lineage: Bacteria
Description: partial 16S ribosomal RNA
Rfam family: Bacterial small subunit ribosomal RNA
Source: RNAcentral
CCUACGGGAGGCAGCAGUGGGGACUAUUGGGCAAUGGGCGCAAGCCUGACCCAGCAACGCCGCGUGAAGGAUGAAGGCCCUCGGGUUGUAAACUUCUUUUGUCAGGGACGAAGAACGUGACGGUUCCUGACCACUAAGCAUACGCUACCUCCGUGCAAGCAGCCGCGGUAAUACGGUGGAUGCGAGCGUUAUCCGGAUUUAUUGGGUUAAAAGGGUGCGCAGGCGGAAGAUAAAGUCAGCGGUACAAUUGAGAGGCGCAACCUGUACGAGGCGUUGAAACUGGUUUUCUUGAGUGAGUGAGAGGUAUGCGGAAUGCGUGGUGUAGCGGUGAAAUGCAUAGAUAUCACGCAGAACUCCGAUGGCGAAGGCAGCAUACCGGCGCUCAACUGACGCU